RNAcentral lists this ribosomal RNA (893 nucleotides) under uncultured bacterium. RNAcentral's name for it is "bacterial SSU rRNA". It matches the Rfam family "Bacterial small subunit ribosomal RNA", at positions 8 to 916 of the family's 1533-position model. The record is from RNAcentral.
AGAGUUUGAUCCUGGCUCAGGACGAACGCUGGCGGCGUGCUUAACACAUGCAAGUCGAACGAUGAACCACUUCGGUGGGGAUUAGUGGCGAACGGGUGAGUAACACGUGGGCAAUCUGCCCUUCACUCUGGGACAAGCCCUGGAAACGGGGUCUAAUACCGGAUAACACUUCCACUCUCAUGGGUGGGGGUUAAAAGCUCCGGCGGUGAAGGAUGAGCCCGCGGCCUAUCAGCUUGUUGGUGAGGUAAUGGCUCACCAAGGCGACGACGGGUAGCCGGCCUGAGAGGGCGACCGGCCACACUGGGACUGAGACACGGCCCAGACUCCUACGGGAGGCAGCAGUGGGGAAUAUUGCACAAUGGGCGAAAGCCUGAUGCAGCGACGCCGCGUGAGGGAUGACGGCCUUCGGGUUGUAAACCUCUUUCAGCAGGGAAGAAGCGAAAGUGACGGUACCUGCAGAAGAAGCGCCGGCUAACUACGUGCCAGCAGCCGCGGUAAUACGUAGGGCGCAAGCGUUGUCCGGAAUUAUUGGGCGUAAAGAGCUCGUAGGCGGCUUGUCACGUCGGGUGUGAAAGCCCGGGGCUUAACCCCGGGUCUGCAUUCGAUACUGCGUGGCUAGAGGUAGGUAGGGGAGAUCGGAAUUCCUGGUGUAGCGGUGAAAUGCGCAGAUAUCAGGAGGAACACCGGUGGCGAAGGCGGAUCUCUGGGCCUUACCUGACGCUCAGGCACGAAAGCUAGGGGAGCGAACAGGAUUAGAUACCCUGGUAGUCCUAGCCGUAAACGUUGGGUGCUAGGUGUGGGCGGAUAUCGACCCCGUCCGUGCCGAAGCUAACGCAUUAAGCACCCCGCCUGGGGAGUACGGCCGCAAGGCUAAAACUCAAAGGAAUUGACGG